AUGCCACUGCGGGAGGGUGCAGAGGAUUUCCAGGCUUGGCACUUUGAUACAAAAGGGGAGUUCUCUGUUAAACAAGCAUACAAACUUCACCGGGCGCUAAUGGAAAAUGAAGGGGGGGAUGGUCCGGCCUAUGCUCCUGGGGGUGAUAGUCUGAAUGUUGAAGGGGAUGGUAGAUGGAAGAGGAUUUGGCGCAUGCCGUGCCCGGGGUCAGUAAAGCACUUCAUGUGGAGAUGUGCUCAUAACACUCUUGCCACCAGAGAUAUUCUGCAAAGAAGGGGAGUAAAGAUUGAAGAUCAUCGAUGCCUUGUCUGCAAUUCUGGGCCAGAAUUGGGGAAGCAUUUAUUUGUCCAGUGUAGAGAAGUUAAAAAGGUUUGGCAGGAACUGGGGGCGGAGCACAUACGGAUGAGGCUUGCAGCCUGUGAUAGCAUAUAUGAAACUCUGGAUGAACUGUGGAAACUCCCAGAAGAACAAAGGAUGCAAGUUAUCAUCAUGUGGUGGUUAUGGUGGACCCAAAGAAACAAAAUCAGAGAAGGAGAGAAGCCUUUGGAGAACCGCGAUUUUCCGUAUAGAGCUGCAUGUACUGCGAAAGAAUAUCAGGGUUGCUUUGGUAAAACGCACGGUGCAAAAACCAGGGUGCGUUGGGCGCCACCACGAGCUGAUACUUUAAAGUUUAAUGUGGAUGCGGCUUUUAUACCGGACCAGGAUACGGCAGCAUGGGGAGUAAUUGCACAUGACGAACAUGGUGAUGUUGUGGCGGCUAGAGCAGGACGAAUCCCUCGAGUAUUUGAUUCCUUUGGCGCGGAAUUGCGAGUUGUCGAGAUGGCGAUGGCAGUAGCUGCCGAAUUGGGUGUGGUAAGGCUGCACAUCGAGACGGAUGCCUUGCUGGUAGCGCAGGCGGUGAACCGGAGAAAGACGGAUUUUUCCAAGGAGGCGCAGUUGAUUGAGUACAUCAAGGUCCAGAGGAAUCCAUACACUGUCCACGUGAGGUUAAUCAUGCGGCUCACUGCUUAG
Molecule: ribosomal RNA, 1011 nt
Filed under: Triticum aestivum (bread wheat)
Lineage: Eukaryota; Viridiplantae; Streptophyta; Magnoliopsida; Poales; Poaceae
Description: partial small subunit ribosomal RNA
Source: RNAcentral